This is a long non-coding RNA of Lycium ferocissimum, 336 nucleotides long. RefSeq lists it as uncharacterized. Lineage: Eukaryota; Viridiplantae; Streptophyta; Magnoliopsida; Solanales; Solanaceae. The transcript has 2 exons. The record is from RefSeq and is a predicted model, not a curated record.
AUAACACACACUACAACAUAAGGCAUCUAUAGCUAUAAAAUACGUUGUAGCUAAAUAUGAAAUUUUUUGUGGCUAAACACUUUAGUCACAAUAUUUUUUUCCGUAGCAUCCGUAGCAAAAUGUAGCGUAGCUAAAGGUUAGCUACAGACUUUUGGUGAUCCGUGGCUAAGGAGUAAUACUUAUUGCUACGAAUUAUUUUGCGUUGUAGCUCAAAUAAUUUUAUUCUUUUGCCACGACAAAUAAAACUUGUAGCAAUCUUUAUAUUGUAGCUACAGUGUGUUCUUUUGUGGCAAAAAGUUUAAGCUAUUUGCCAUGAAAAUACAAAUUUGGUGGCUA